RNAcentral lists this ribosomal RNA (457 nucleotides) under uncultured bacterium. RNAcentral describes it as "bacterial SSU rRNA". It matches the Rfam family "Bacterial small subunit ribosomal RNA", at positions 340 to 786 of the family's 1533-position model. The record is from RNAcentral.
UACGGGAGGCAGCAGUGGGGAAUAUUGCACAAUGGGCGAAAGCCUGAUGCAGCUAUGCCGCGUGUAUGAAGAAGGCCUUAGGGUUGUAAAGUACUUUCAUCGGGGAGGAAAAAACAAAACUAAUAAUUUUAUUUCUUGACGUUACCCGAAAAAGAAGCACCGGCUAACUCCGUGCCAGCAGCCGCGGUAAUACGGAGGGUGCUAGCGUUAAUCAGAAUUACUGGGCGUAAAGAGCACGUAGGUGGUUUUUUUAAGUCAGAUGUGAAAUCCCUGGGCUUAACCUGGAACUGCAUUUUGAAACUGAAAUACUAGAGUAUCGUAGAGGGAGGUAGAAUUCUAGGUGUAGCGGUGAAAUGCGUAGAUAUCUGGAGGAAUACCUGUGGCGAAAGCGGCCUCCUAAACGAAUACUGACACUGAGGGUGCGAAAGCGUGGGGAGCGAAACAGGGAUUAGAUACC